GACCCUGUAGCCCAGUGGAUAAGGCGCCUGCCUUCUAAGCAGGAGACCGCGCGUUCGAUUCGCGCCAGGGUCGC
RNAcentral lists this transfer RNA (74 nucleotides) under uncultured archaeon. RNAcentral's name for it is "tRNA-Arg(tct)". It matches the Rfam family "tRNA". Rfam says of the family: Transfer RNA (tRNA) molecules are approximately 80 nucleotides in length. Their secondary structure includes four short double-helical elements and three loops (D, anti-codon, and T loops). The record is from RNAcentral.